Molecule: long non-coding RNA, 1283 nt
Organism: Xenia sp. Carnegie-2017
Lineage: Eukaryota; Metazoa; Cnidaria; Anthozoa; Malacalcyonacea; Xeniidae
Exons: 3
Source: RefSeq, a predicted model, not a curated record
CCUGUUCCAAGACGACUGUUGUGGAACACUUUAUGUAGAGUCAGAGCCGAAGGUCGAUGCCUGAUGAUUACGUCACAUAGUAUGGAAGAAUGCGAGGCGUUGUGUACUCGGUUGGCAAUCAUGGAAAAUGGCAAAUUGCGCUUUCUCGGUAGCCCGCAACACCUGAAGAACAAAUUCUUUCAAGGAUUCACUUUGUUGGUAAACCCUCCAAGUGACACGCCUAGUAAUGACUCGACCUUGGUAAAAGAAUUCGUGGCAGAGACGUUCCCAGUAGUGUACUUCGAGACGAGCACAAUGGCUUGUUGAAUUACCACAUGGGCAAUUCAAAAUGCGCUUGGUCUUCCCUGUUUGCGAUCUUAGAAGAUGCGCACAGCCGUUCUGUUAUCGGUAAUUAUUCUAUAAAGCAAACCACACUGGAUGAGAUAUUUUUAAAUUUUGCUCUCUCACUGGGAGGCUACGACGAUUAGAUGGUCGAUUAAUAUUGUCGUACAUGGGCAGUGUGACCAUUUAUUUUGAAUUAUAACUAAAUCUUUUUUAUCGUGUUAAUGAUUGUUUGGUCGAUUUAAAUUUUUCUAUCGCGCCUUGUGUACGCCACUAAAUGUUGCAUACACCAAAAAGAACUACCCGAAUGAAGUAAGCACGAUGCCAUGACCUAGAACCCAGUCUACUAGAUACCUGACUCCGCCGAAAUUUAUAGUUACGAGUUUGGCAAGCCGCCAUCUUGAAAGGUGGCAAAAUUGACGAUAUUUACGACUAAAAAGCACUCUUCCAACCUUCUUUUUUUGGUAUGGAGUCUGCAGGUAUCCACGAAACAUGCUACAAUUCCAUUAUGAAGUGCGAUGUUGAUAUUCGUAAGGAUCUCUACGCUAACAUUUUCCUCUCUGGUGGGUCCACCAUGUAUCCUGCUAUUGCUGACAGAAUGCAAAGGAAAUCACUGCUCUUUCCCCUCCCACCAUGAAAAUCAAGGUUAUUGCUCCACCUGAAAGAAAAUACUCUGUCUGGAUUGGUGGCUCCAUCUUGUCCUCUCUUUCCACCUUCCAACAGAUGUGGAUCUCGAAACAAGAAUACGACGAAUCUGGACCUUCGAUUGUGCACAGGAAAUGCUACUAGAUUGCUUUUGACGUUUAACAGUUAAUUAAAAAUAUAUGAUAGAGUUGGUUUAUUUUUAUUGUUUUUCCAACGCUUUCGUAUCAAAGGUCCGCAUUAAAAAAAGGGAAAAUAUUAUGGAGUUUGUUGACUAACGUAGCAUCAAAGUUGAAAUAAAUAAAGCUUUUGUUCGUUUU